AUUAUACCCCCUCUGUCCAACAAAAGAUGUCUUAAGUUUGUCAGAAUUUCGAUGUAUUUAGACAUGACUUAGCGUAUAAAUGCAUUCAAAUUUAGUCAAAGUUAAGACAUCUUUGUUGGAUGGAGGAAGUACAUA
This is a non-coding RNA of Brachypodium distachyon (stiff brome), 135 nucleotides long. The record is from Rfam. Lineage: Eukaryota; Viridiplantae; Streptophyta; Magnoliopsida; Poales; Poaceae.